UUUUACGGCCAUACCUCCCUGAACACGCCCGAUCUCGUCCGACCUCGGAAGCUAAGCAGGUCGGGCCUGGUUAGUACUUGGAUGGGAGACCGCCUGGGAAUACCAGGUGCUGUAAGCU
Molecule: ribosomal RNA, 118 nt
Filed under: Echeneis naucrates (live sharksucker)
Lineage: Eukaryota; Metazoa; Chordata; Actinopteri; Carangiformes; Echeneidae
Source: RNAcentral